AGACCUUAGUUUUGGGUGAAAUUUUCUAGGGAAGAAAAAAACCUAAUUCCUGUGUCUUUUCUUCAUGAUUUCGGGGUUUUGUUUAUUUGCAGCUUUAACCGUUAUUGGUUUAGAGACUAAAGGAGCUGUAGUAAUUGCUGGUUUCUUCUUUGUUCUGCGGUUGUUUGCUUACAAAUUGACCUACUCAUUUUUGUCAAUUACUGGAUGUAAUUUGGAAAUGAAAAAGAAGCGAGAGAUUCAUCUGUGCUUUUGGGAAGUUGAAUCAGGAUUAAUGCUUGCUGUUAUAAUUUGUGUUUUUGUUACCAAAUGGCAGUCUUUCAAGGUUAAAAGGAAUCUGUCUCUUGUCUCUUGCAAUAGGGAUGUUUAUCCAGAAAUGUUAAAGGAAUCUGUCUGUUGUAGUGUUGGCUGCCAAGGGUUUCUUUCAGACUCCAGAAUCUGGAUUCCUGUAUGACACUUCCGGAAUUUCUCUUUUUUUCGUCAGGUAUCAGGUCCAGUCGUCGUUUGCCGAUGGAGUGGCAAGGGCUGCUAUGUAUGACCUCAUACAUGUUGGUCAUGACAGUCUUUUUGGGGAAAUUAUAUGAUUAGAAGGAGAUCUUGCUAUAGUAUGGGCUUUGAUGAAUGUUGCAUUAUUUCAUUAUUUUCUUUCACUCAAGAUGGAAAAAGAGCUGAAUGUGAUAUUGGACCCUGGCGAGGCACAGCCAGCUAUUAGCUGUACUGGUGAUAGUGGUCCUGUGUCUUACCUUGAACAAGUCGUUUCUCCCAUUUCUGAGACAAUGGUUAAGACAACUAAAAGUAGUUUUGUGGAGCACCAGACAAUUGAAGUUUUCACCGGCUUAUUUUUGGUCUUAACGAUUCAGGUUGUUACAUUCAGAUAGUUGAUCGGAAGUUCCAUAUUUGCUAUUCAAUGGUUUGGUAAUAGAUGCGUGCUUGCUUUCACACCUACAGAGUCUGACAAUUAUAGCUUUCAAUGACGGAAACAAUGGACAAAAACUACAUGGAUAAAAAGUAGGUCUUAAUUAAACUGUCAUCAAUCAAUACUCUAACCACAACAAUGGACAUCCAACUGUUAGAGAUAUAAGUGUGUGAAUAGUUUGUGUCAAGUUAACUGGUCAAUAUUGACUUGACUUGUAUUAUUACACCCAAUGUUUGUCUUUAAAUACUUGUAAUAAUACUUUCUUAGUUUGUAUUGAAAACAAUUCUUUACAAUACCAUCAACUUCAGUG
This is an RNA transcript of Papaver somniferum (opium poppy), 1223 nucleotides long. RefSeq lists it as uncharacterized. The transcript is spliced from 7 exons. Lineage: Eukaryota; Viridiplantae; Streptophyta; Magnoliopsida; Ranunculales; Papaveraceae. The record is from RefSeq and is a predicted model, not a curated record.